CAUAAAGCAGGGUAUUUUGUUGAUGAAGUGGACAUUGUACUUGUAAGUGACAAACAUAUAUGUCAUAUAUGGGAUUAUAUUGUAUAUAUAAAAUUAUCGUCCUAACACCAGCUAACACAUGUUGACCCUGCCGGGCCUAGACCUGCGUUUUCAUAACUGCCUUGUGAGAGCAAUGUCGCGCAAUAUAGCUAUAGUAUGUUGAUAAACUAAAUGCGGGUAACGAAAAGCCGAACAGUUCAUGGGAUGUACUCGAAUUGCGCACGUAAUAUGGCUCCAAAAACGUUCUACCAUGGACGAACAUUGGUAGGUUUAUGCUGUUCGUGGCAACUUCAGUGUAUAACAUAACGCGCUUAAGUAUAAUGACAAUAUGAAACGCACUCACCGGUUUAAAAGUGGAUCAAAUGUGGAUAGAAAACAGCCUUUUUCCAGGUUCUGAACGUCGGGACUUGGAAGCUUCGAUUUAUCCGAGAAAAUGUACCACGGGCAUUUUCGUGUACGGAAAAUUUUCCUUCUAUGUUGUCUCGAAGACCGUUGAAACCAGAGUGAACUGAGAUAAAAUUUGGCUAGCUUUUGCUGAUAACUGAAGAAUGUCGGCUUAGCAAAAUGGGAUUAUAUUGACAAUUUGGCAUUGACACAUGGCAGGUGUUGCCCGGAGAGCAAGGCGGUUGUUUUCUUUGCUUAUCGUUUC
Paramuricea clavata is the source of this 688-nucleotide non-coding RNA. The record is from the annotation of a GenBank genome assembly. Lineage: Eukaryota; Metazoa; Cnidaria; Anthozoa; Malacalcyonacea; Plexauridae.